RNAcentral lists this ribosomal RNA (514 nucleotides) under Sporothrix sp. SS-2011b. Its description in RNAcentral is "SSU rRNA". It matches the Rfam family "Eukaryotic small subunit ribosomal RNA", at positions 41 to 561 of the family's 1831-position model. Lineage: Eukaryota; Fungi; Ascomycota; Sordariomycetes; Ophiostomatales; Ophiostomataceae. The record is from RNAcentral.
AGAUUAAGCCAUGCAUGUCUAAGUAUAAGCAAUUAACAGCGAAACUGCGAAUGGCUCAUUAUAUAAGUUAUCGUUUAUUUGAUAGUACCUUACUACUUGGAUAACCGUGGUAAUUCUAGAGCUAAUACAUGCUGAAAAUCCCGACUCCGGAAGGGAUGUAUUUAUUAGAUUAAAAACCAAUGCCCUCUGGGCCAUCUGGUGAUUCAUGAUAACUCCUCGAAUCGCACGGCCUCGCGCCGGCGAUGGUUCAUUCAAAUUUCUUCCCUAUCAACUUUCGAUGUUUGGGUAGUGGCCAAACAUGGUUGCAACGGGUAACGGAGGGUUAGGGCUCGACCCCGGAGAAGGAGCCUGAGAAACGGCUACUACAUCCAAGGAAGGCAGCAGGCGCGCAAAUUACCCAAUCCCGAUUCGGGGAGGUAGUGACAAUAAAUACUGAUACAGGGCUCUUUUGGGUCUUGUAAUUGGAAUGAGUACAAUUUAAAUCCCUUAACGAGGAACAAUUGGAGGGCAAGUC